This 99-nucleotide signal recognition particle RNA is filed under the name Noviherbaspirillum sp. RNAcentral describes it as "signal recognition particle sRNA small type". It matches the Rfam family "Bacterial small signal recognition particle RNA". Rfam says of the family: The signal recognition particle (SRP) is a universally conserved ribonucleoprotein involved in the co-translational targeting of proteins to membranes. Archaeal SRP consists of a 7S RNA and homologues of the eukaryotic SRP19 and SRP54 proteins. Lineage: Bacteria; Pseudomonadati; Pseudomonadota; Betaproteobacteria; Burkholderiales; Oxalobacteraceae. The record is from RNAcentral. RNAcentral also lists the same sequence under 2 other names.
GGCGGGCCCCUGCGCAUUGUGGCAUGGUGAAUCUGGUCAGGUCGGGAACGAAGCAGCCACAGCCGUUUCCCACAAGUGCCGCAGACAAGGCUCGCCUCU